AUACGGCCAUAUUACUUUGAAAGUACAGCUCUCGUACGAUCACCGAAGUUAAGCAACGUCGUGGCUUGUUAGUAGCUAGAUGGGUAACCGUUUGGGAAUACCAGGUGUUGUAA
Molecule: non-coding RNA, 113 nt
Organism: Acanthosepion pharaonis
Lineage: Eukaryota; Metazoa; Mollusca; Cephalopoda; Sepiida; Sepiidae
Source: the annotation of a GenBank genome assembly